Triticum aestivum (bread wheat) is the source of this 115-nucleotide non-coding RNA. NCBI's taxonomy places the organism in Eukaryota, Viridiplantae, Streptophyta, Magnoliopsida, Poales, Poaceae. The record is from Rfam.
AUAAUACUCCCUCCGUCUGGAAUUACUUAUCAUCAAAAUGGAUGUGUCUAGAACUAAAAUACAUCUAGAUACAUCAAUUUCAAUGACAAGUAUUUUCGGAUGGAGGGAGUAGUAG